AGCUCCAAUAGCGUAUAUUAAAAUUGUUGCGGUUAAAAAGCUCGUAGUUGAAUAUCAGGUAGAGUGUUGGCUAGGUCCUUAUGGGCUUAGUCAAUUAAUCUGCCUCGUCAGCCGAUCAGUGUCAUUGUUGCUCUUAACUGACGUGACAAUACGCACGGCAUGUUUACCUUGAAAAAAUUAGAGUGCUUAAAGCAGACCAUUAAUGAGUCUGAAUAGUGGUGCAUGGAAUAAUGGAAGAAGACUCUGGAUUUAUUUGUUGUUUAUAGCGAACCAGAGUAAUGAUUAAAAGGGGUAGUACGGGGGCAGAAGUAUAGCUGCGCUAGAGGUGAAAUUCUUGGACCGUGGCUAGACUAACUACUGCGAAAGCAUCUGCCAAGUAUGCUUUCAUUAAUCAAGAACG
RNAcentral lists this ribosomal RNA (400 nucleotides) under phytoplankton environmental sample. RNAcentral's name for it is "partial small subunit ribosomal RNA". It matches the Rfam family "Eukaryotic small subunit ribosomal RNA", at positions 587 to 985 of the family's 1831-position model. The record is from RNAcentral.